UACGUAGGGUGCGAGCGUUAAUCGGAAUUACUGGGCGUAAAGCGUGCGUAGGCGGUUCGUUAAGUUCGUUGUGAAAGCCCCGGGCUCAACCUGGGAAUGGCAAUGGAAACUGGCGGGCUGGAGUAUGGCAGAGGGGGGUGGAAUUCCGCGUGUAGCAGUGAAAUGCGUAGAGAUGCGGAGGAACACCGACGGCGAAGGCAGCCCCCUGGGCCAAUACUGACGCUCAGGCACGAAAGCGUGGGGAGCAAACAGG
Molecule: ribosomal RNA, 253 nt
Filed under: uncultured bacterium
Lineage: Bacteria
Description: partial 16S ribosomal RNA
Rfam family: Bacterial small subunit ribosomal RNA
Source: RNAcentral